This 253-nucleotide ribosomal RNA is filed under the name uncultured bacterium. Its description in RNAcentral is "partial 16S ribosomal RNA". It matches the Rfam family "Bacterial small subunit ribosomal RNA", at positions 524 to 776 of the family's 1533-position model. The record is from RNAcentral.
UACGGAGGGAGCUAGCGUUGUUCGGAAUUACUGGGCGUAAAGCGCACGUAGGCGGCUUUGUAAGUUAGAGGUGAAAGCCCGGGGCUCAACCCCGGAACUGCCUUUGAUACUGCAUGGCUUGAAUCCAGGAGAGGUGAGUGGAAUUCCGAGUGUAGAGGUGAAAUUCGUAGAUAUUCGGAAGAACACCAGUGGCGAAGGCGACUCGCUGGACGACGAUUGACGCUGAGGUGCGAAAGCGUGGGGAGCAAACAGG